UACGUAGGGUGCGAGCGUUAAUCGGAAUUACUGGGCGUAAAGAGUGCGUAGGCGGUUCGUUAUGUCUGCUGUGAAAUCUCACAGCUUAACUGUGAAACUGCAUUGGAUACUAUUCGGCUAGAGAGUUGGAGGGGGGACUGGAAUUCUUGGUGUAGCAGUGAAAUGCGUAGAUAUCAAGAGGAACACCAGUGGCGAAGGCGAGUCCCUGGACAACUUCUGACGCUGAGGCACGAAAGCUAGGGGAGCAAACAGG
RNAcentral lists this ribosomal RNA (253 nucleotides) under uncultured bacterium. RNAcentral's name for it is "partial 16S ribosomal RNA". It matches the Rfam family "Bacterial small subunit ribosomal RNA", at positions 524 to 776 of the family's 1533-position model. The record is from RNAcentral.